Molecule: long non-coding RNA, 1439 nt
Organism: Zonotrichia leucophrys gambelii
Lineage: Eukaryota; Metazoa; Chordata; Aves; Passeriformes; Passerellidae
Exons: 2
Source: RefSeq, a predicted model, not a curated record
GGUCAGGGAGAGCUUUGGAGGAGUUCUGAUGAAGUGCUGUGUGUGAGAAAAUCACUCAGAAGGAAUGUUGGGCCUGGAUGGCCGCGUCCCCAGGAGCAGCAGCUCCCAGCCUGGGAAGCGUUUCACUUCAGGGAUUCCUUCAGCAGACAAAGGGAGGCUACAGGCAGCACAGCAAAUCAGGAGGGCUCUGAAGGAAGGAGCUGCCAGCAGAGCUGCCUGGUGGCUGUGUGAGUCAGACGAGGUGUGCACAUCUCCCUCUGUCAGAUGGAACCGGCGGCGGUGCCCGGCCGUGUGUCCAGGAACAUCCACCUGGAGCAACAACAGGGCACCUACUGCUGCUGGCUUCAUACAGGGCAGCUUGUGUUUCCACUGUCUCUUCACACAGAACUGCUUCUCCCUGCUGUGCCAAGACUUGCCUUUUUUCUCCCCACCUGCCCUCAGAGUUAAAAUUCAUCUCCUCUCUUGAUUAUUGCCAUCUGUUUUGUUGCAAUCUCCAUCAGGGUAUGCAGAAUAAUUACCAGGCUCAUUUUCUGCUGGUCUGAAAAGACAAGUGGUUUCUCCCAGCAUACUGAGAAAUCCUCUGUCCUGUGGAGUUCAACUGCUUCUAUUUGAAGGCCCUGGCAAGAAAUUAAUGAAGCCUCUUUUACUAAAGUUUUCAGCUGGAGGGAAUAUUUUUAAAAUUCUGAUCAUGCUGAAUAAAACUCAGUCUUCACUCUGAGGGUUUUUUCUCUUCUGUUUCCCUGUGUAUUUAGAGGCUUCUUGGUCAACUUUUCCAUCUGCCUUUGUGUGUUUCUGCUGCUGAUAAUGACUGAAAUUUGGAGUUUGAAUGGAUGCCUCAGAGGGAAGAAGACUGAGCCUCUUUCUAGAGAAUAUUAUUGCAGUUUUAGUUUGGAGUGUUUUGACCAACAGUUGUAAAACUGCCAGCUACAGCACAUGUUGAUUUUCUUUCAGCUCAGGGUCACUGGGAAUAUGUACAAUGAUGCUCUCCUUAAGGGGGAAAAGAAAGGAUUUUGGGAUACAGAAGAGCAAGUUUUGCAUAAGUGCUUCUGUGGAGGUGAAGGGGUAUUACAGCAUUCAAUGUGACUCAUUUUAUUAGUCAAAAGCCUCCAGCAGGAUGAGCUGCUAGGAAUAGCAAAAUGUCUCAAGUAAAGGGAAAAAAUGGCUUCCAGAAUGAAAACAGAACAUUCCUUAUAAACCAUCCCCAUUUGAUAUAAAGUUGUUGGAAUAUGUACAGUUAGUGUGUACAUGUGUAGCACAUAGCAUAAAACAAGGAUUCUGUAAAAAUACUACACCUAUGUAUUAACCAUUUAUUAACUCAUCAUGAUUACAAGAAUACAAGAAAUUCAGAGUCUGAAAUUACACUUUAUUUGCAAUAGGAAAAGAAGGACUCAGUAUGGCCUAUUUAACUUGGUGCAGAAUAAAUUUUAAUUUUGGAUUAA